Molecule: ribosomal RNA, 424 nt
Filed under: Fusobacteriota bacterium
Lineage: Bacteria; Fusobacteriati; Fusobacteriota
Description: Fusobacteria bacterium partial 16S ribosomal RNA
Rfam family: Bacterial small subunit ribosomal RNA
Source: RNAcentral
UGAGGAAUAUUGGUCAAUGGGCGAGAGCCUGAACCAGCCAAGUCGCGUGAAGGCAGACAGUCCUAAGGAUUGUAAACUUCUUUUAUACGGGAAUAACGGGCGAUACGAGUAUUGCAUUGAAUGUACCGUAAGAAUAAGCAUCGGCUAACUCCGUGCCAGCAGCCGCGGUAAUACGGAGGAUGCGAGCGUUAUCCGGAUUUAUUGGGUUUAAAGGGUGCGUAGGUUGUUCGGUAAGUCAGCGGUGAAACCUGAGCGCUCAACGUUCAGCCUGCCGUUGAAACUGCCGGGCUUGAGUUCAGUGGCGGCAGGCGGAAUUCGUGGUGUAGCGGUGAAAUGCAUAGAGAUCACGAGGAACUCCGAUUGCGAAGGCAGCUUGCCAUACUGCGACUGACACUGAAGCACGAAGGCGUGGGUAUCAAACAGG